UAUAUCGUGAAACUGCGAAUGGCUCAUUAAAUCAGUUAUCGUUUAUUUGAUAGUACCUUACUACUUGGAUAACCGUGGUAAUUCUAGAGCUAAUACAUGCUAAAAACCUCGACUUCGGAAGGGGUGUAUUUAUUAGAUAAAAAACCAAUGCCCUUCGGGGCUCCCUGGUGAUUCAUAAUAACUUAACGAAUCGCAUGGCCUUGUGCCGGCGAUGGUUCAUUCAAAUUUCUGCCCUAUCAACUUUCGAUUGUUGGGUCUUGGCCAACAAUGGUUUCAACGGGUAACGGGGAAUUAGGGUUCUAUUCCGGAGAGGGAGCCUGAGAAACGGCUACCACAUCCAAGGAAGGCAGCAGGCGCGCAAAUUACCCAAUCCUGAUACAGGGAGGUAGUGACAAUAAAUACUGAUACAGGGCUCUUUUGGGUCUUGUAAUUGGAAUGAGUACAAUUUAAAUCCCUUAACGAGGAACAAUUGGAGGGCAAGUCUGGUGGAUCUCAGGUCCCAGGAACUUUCACGGUUCCUUCGCUGACGCCAGAAAUAGUUUAUUACUAGUCGCUAUGCACCCUAAGUCUUUGGGGGGUGCUGCGGCAAGACACCUGGAUCGGGGGAAGCUAAAAGCACACGCUUAUGCUAAUCCCGGGCUGAGUCGACGGUAGCAACCGUCGGCCAGUGUAGAGCGCGGUAAGGUGUCGGUUGCUCAGUCUGAGUAGCUUAAGGGACGUGCCAUUCCUCACGAAAGUGGUUUAUAACGUGAGCUCCCAAAGAGCUAAUGUUAUGAGGUGCGUUUUUACAUGCACGGGAAGCAAAUGUUGCAUUUGUGAUUAAAUGGCCAGCAGCCGCGGUAAUUCCAGCUCCAAUAGCGUAUAUUAAAGUUGUUGCAGUUAAAAAGCUCGUAGUUGAACCUUGGGCCUGGCUGGCCGGUCCGCCUCACCGCGUGCACUGGUCCGGCCGGGCCUUUCCUCCUGGGGAGCCGCAUGUCCUUCACUGGGUGUGUCGGGGAACCAGGACUUUUACUUUGAAAAAAUUAGAGUGUUCAAAGCAGGCCUAUGCUCGAAUACAUUAGCAUGGAAUAAUAGAAUAGGACGUGUGGUUCUAUUUUGUUGGUUUCUAGGACCGCCGUAAUGAUUAAUAGGGACAGUUGGGGGCAUCAGUAUUUAAUUGUCAGAGGUGAAAUUCUUGGAUUUAUUAAAGACUAACUACUGCGAAAGCAUUUGCCAAAGAUGUUUUCAUUAAUCAGUGAACGAAAGUUAGGGGAUCGAAGACGAUUUUAGUGUAGUAUCUGGUCGUCCAAAGCAUAGCAUAUGCUAGUCUGAGCUUUCAGGCAACACCGUCAAAUUGUCGGGGACCUCCUAAAGGCUUUACCACACCCUGCCUCCAGAAA
This 1379-nucleotide ribosomal RNA is filed under the name Chalara pulchra. RNAcentral describes it as "partial 18S ribosomal RNA". It matches the Rfam family "Eukaryotic small subunit ribosomal RNA", at positions 75 to 1103 of the family's 1831-position model. Lineage: Eukaryota; Fungi; Ascomycota; Leotiomycetes; Helotiales. The record is from RNAcentral.